GGACCUGACUGCUAUCGGAUUGAUACUAAGCCAUGCGAGUCAUUGUAGCAAUACAAGGCAUACGGCUCAGUAACGCGUAGUCAACCUAACCUAUGGACGGGAAUAACCUCGGGAAACUGAGAAUAAUGCCCGAUAGAACAUUAUGCCUGGAAUGGUUUAUGUUCCAAAUGAUUUAUCGCCGUAGGAUGGGACUGCGGCCUAUCAGUUUGUUGGUGAGGUAAUGGCCCACCAAGACUAUUACAGGUACGGGCUCUGAGAGGAGUAGCCCGGAGAUGGGUACUGAGACACGGACCCAGGCCCUAUGGGGCGCAGCAGGCGAAGAAAACUUUGCAAUGUGCGAAAGCACGACGAAGGUUAAUCCGAGUGGUUUCUGCUAAAGAAACCUUUUGUCGAGUCCUAGAAACGACUGAUGAAUAAGGGGUGGGCAAAGUUCUGGUGU
This 439-nucleotide ribosomal RNA is filed under the name uncultured archaeon. Its description in RNAcentral is "bacterial SSU rRNA". It matches the Rfam family "Archaeal small subunit ribosomal RNA", at positions 19 to 458 of the family's 1478-position model. The record is from RNAcentral.